GUAGCAGAAGUGUGUGUGUGCAAAGACAUACCUGAAAUUAUGAAUAACUGAAAAGGCAUCUACAGAUGCAUAACAACAGUGAAAAAGAGCAUUCUGAAUGAUAACUGAAAACAUCUUGAUUGUGAGUCGGUCUGUGUGGAGGUGUGCUCAGUCGAGGUCCCGCAGGGGCUGCAGGGGGACAACCAGGGUCCUCUCCACAGGCUGCAGGGAAUCUUGGCUCUGGCUCUGGGAGCACCUUCUGCACUAGGGCUGUUUCUCUUGCAGCUUUCUCUCUCCUCCCUCCCAGCUGCUCAGGAGCUGUGGGCUCCUUGCCAACAAGUGGCCAAAUCCCAGGGCCCUUUGGCAGGGAAAUGCUCACUGUCCUCUGGAAAGACCCCUUCUCCUACAGGACAAACAGGGUGUCCUCUCAGCAGUGGCUGCUAUGAUGGGUGUUGUUGUGCAUGAUGAGCAGCAUCAAGGGAGCACCUGGGAACAGAUCCUGUGGCUCCUCCAGCAAUGCCAGGAGGUCCAAGAUAGCUUCCAGGUGACAGAGGUGAGGCACUGUGUGGGGCCUGGUGAGGCUGUGGCAUCCAUACAAUUGAACUCUGUUCGGGGGAUAGAAACCCUGCUUAUGUCUCCACAAAGGGAGGGUGAUCAGGAAGCCCUGUGCAGGUGGUUUGGGCUUCUCCCUGGCAGCUUGGGUUAGGGGCUCCCUGUGGCCCAGUCAUGGUGGGCUCCUUCCUUUCCGUAUGGCUUUGGGUGGCUUUAGACUGUUCAUCAUUUCCAUUCUCUUGUAGAGCCUCUGUUACUUACUGGGGACUUUGGGGGGACUUCAGACCCUCAUCUCCAAAGACAAGCUUUGUGCUUGUCCUGUGCUUGCUGCUGCAGUGCACCACAAGGUAAAGGGAGCUUGCACCUGUGCCACUGGCACAUGACAGGGCAGGGUAAUGCCAGGUUGGGCACUGAUUUGUCAAUCCCUGUUUUAUGUGCUGAAUUACUGGUGUCUGAGGGAUCAGAAUGUGCAGAGGAGAGCCAUUCCUCAGGUGGCCAUUCUAUGCAGCAGUGCUCAGCUGUUGCAGAGAGGCUGGUAGGAGAUGUCCUCGUGACACAGCUGACAGCUUUUGUUCUCCUGACACAGCUUUUCUGGGUUGCAGCAGCAAGAGGAGCUUCACUUCUUGGCCUUCAGCCUGUACAUGGCCCUGGCUGCCUCUGCCAAAGGGAUGACCAUGUUCUUCAGCAGAGAAGGGAGGGAGAUGUGGGUCAGCAUCUUCCUGCAUCUCCGGGACCCCAGCCUUGCAGUCUCCAGCGUAAGAGCCCCCAGAAUUUAUCUGCAAACCCACAGAAAGGUGCAGGACCCCAGCUGAGCUGUUUGGCUGCUGCAAACCUCAGGUCUCCACUGCCCUGCGCCCAGCAUGCACUGCCAGUGCUGCCUCUCCUGCUCAGAGUGCGCUCCUGCCCUCCUACCAAAUCCGAUGGGCUCCUUUAG
This 1465-nucleotide long non-coding RNA is filed under the name Numida meleagris (helmeted guineafowl). RNAcentral's name for it is "lncRNA (ENSNMEG00000019039.1)". Lineage: Eukaryota; Metazoa; Chordata; Aves; Galliformes; Numididae. The record is from RNAcentral.